UCAUCACAAAAGAGAUGGUGUACGUACUCUCUUUCCCGCAGUUGGGCCCACAGACUUACAGCACGUUCAGGACGGGCUGCGGCUUCUGCUCUGCAUCACUUGCCCUUUCUGCUUCCCUCUUUAUUCUACUACCCGCUUGCUUGCUUCCGAAGACCUGGGGCUAGGACCACCGCCUUCUGGGGCUGGGCUUACGACCGUCUACACCGGGGGGGGGCGAGGGGUGUGUUCUCAACCCUGGUUGCACUGGACGAUCACCUGGGGGGGCUUUUCAACCUCACCUUGCCCAGGCUGCUCCCCAGGCUCAUUAAAUCACGACCCAGGAGCUCGGGGACCCAGUGGCUGUACUUUCAGAGCCCCCGCGGGGACUCCACUGGGUAACCACGUGGGGGGGGGGGGCAGGGUCGACACCCACCAGUGGCUUCACUGGUUAGGAGGCAGCUGCGAGUUAAAGAUCUGAGUUCCAUAAAGCCAUUAGACGGUGGACAAUUAUGGAACCUGGAAGGCUUUCACAAAGCAAACCUUGGCCAGCGCCCCGGAGCUGGCGGAGGAGAGCCACGCGGCUGCGGCCUGCAGAGAGGGAGCGGGCGGCAGGUCGCCCCGCCUCGGAGGCUUUGCUCCCAGUCGCCGGGUCACCGCGCCGGGCAGCGGGAGAGCGAGGCCGCAGCGCAGCGCCCGGAGCGGUGCUGCUCCCAACGGUGCAGCGCUUUGCAGGCGCUGGCGGAGCAACCACCGCAGACACCGAAGCCAUUAAGGAAACUGUGAAUUAAAGCGUCGUUGUUUCAAAGGCCAGAUCCUUCCCCAGGCCUAAGCUAUUCCUUGGAUACUUUGACAAGUCCUUUAUUAACUAAUCAUUUUGUAAUUGCCUCUGAUGUGCCAGGCUUGUGCUCAGGGCUGAGAAUGCAGUGCCCGAGGAGCUUCUGUCCUUGCCUCCAAGACCUCACUUGCCACUCUGAAUUUGCUAAUUCAGAUGCCCACAUUCCUAACUUCUCCCCCAGGAAAAAUCCUAAGGACCAAAUCCUAUCUGUUUUCUCAAAUGGCUUCAAAGACCCAUGUCAUCACCGGUGUUGUAGAAUUCUUUGCUGAUGUACUUUCAUCUGUGACUUUUGCUUUCUUCUUGUAACUGUCAGAGACACAGAGUGUGGGGGUGUCUUUCUCAUUAAAUCCUUUCCCACAAAACUCCAGGGUGUUUUCAGUGUUUAAGAAGAAACUAAAAGCUAUGGGCCUCGUUUAGAUGUGUGCAAAGGCUUGUGGGGAGAGGGAAACAAGGCACAGAGGACAACUUGGUAGGAAUUUAACUGCAAUUACCAUCUGCAAACUCCAAAAAAUAAGGUAGGGGCAGCCAAAUGUCCUGAUGGCCUUAAAGGUCUCCUUCAGGGGGGGAUCUGCAGAGGUGCAAGGCACAGUGGGGCCCCCUCUCCCUGCCCAAAAUGUCCAUGUCCUAAUGCCCAGAACCUGUGAAUAUGUUACUUUGCCAUGUAAUGAGUCCAUGGCCAAAGAGAUUCUGCAGGUGUGAUCAAGUGAAGGACCUUGAGGUGGAGAGACUGUCCUGGAUCAUCUGGGUGCGCCAGUGUCAUCACAAUGGUCCUUAUAAAGCAAAGAAGGC
This 1603-nucleotide long non-coding RNA is filed under the name Vulpes vulpes (red fox). RNAcentral describes it as "lncRNA (ENSVVUG00000012796.1)". The record is from RNAcentral. Lineage: Eukaryota; Metazoa; Chordata; Mammalia; Carnivora; Canidae.